AUUGAACGCUGGCGGCAGGCCUAACACAUGCAAGUCGAACGGUAGCACAGAGAGCUUGCUCUCGGGUGACGAGUGGCGGACGGGUGAGUAAUGUCUGGUAAACUGCCUGAUGGAGGGGGAUAAGUAAUGGAAAAGGUAGCUAAUACCGCAUAACGUCGCAAGACCAAAGAGGGGGGCCUUCGGGCCGCUUGCCAUCAAGUCUUCCCAGAUGGGAUUAGCUAGUAGGUGGGGUAACGGCUCACCUAGGCGACGAUCCCUAGCUGGUCUGAGAGGAUGACCAGCCACACUGGAACUGAGACACGGGCCAGACUCCUACGGGAGGAAGCAGUGGGGAAUAUUGCACAAUGGGCGCAAGCCUGAUGCAGCCAUGCCGCGUGUAUGAAGAAGGCCUUCGGGUUGUAAAGUACUUUCAGCGGGGAGGAAGGUGUUGUGGUUAAUAACCACAGCAAUUGACGUUACCCGCAGAAGAAGCACCGGCUAACUCCGUGCCAGCCGCCGCGGUAA
RNAcentral lists this ribosomal RNA (504 nucleotides) under uncultured bacterium. RNAcentral describes it as "partial 16S ribosomal RNA". It matches the Rfam family "Bacterial small subunit ribosomal RNA", at positions 30 to 523 of the family's 1533-position model. The record is from RNAcentral.